GCUCCAGCACCUGCACAAAGAAGUGUGCGGUGGCCCGGCGUCGGGGCUUCGACAGCCGGGCGUCUGUUUGACCCAAAUCCUACAGCUCCGAAUCCCCAGGCUGUCGGAGAUCCCCACAAAGAGCCCCACUGGCAUAAAACACGCUUCCCGGCAGAAACAGGAUAGAGCGCCCUAACCGAAAGCCUCUCCCCAACAGGAUCACGCUCUGCCCGGGAGAAAGGCGCCAGACCUCACCUCAGAGAGCUACGUAUCCUAACACCAACACCCAGGUACACCCUCGGCAAGGAUCCCGGUACACACGCACCCUGCCCUGUGCUCUCACAACUCCAGGUCGGGCGAUGGACACCCCCAGAAACAGAUAUAUUCAGAGUCACAUAGACCAUGCCACAAAUAAUACUCAUGCUGCGGAGGAUGCCAGAUUUGCGUCAGGCGCUGGGGUACAAGCAUCACGUGUACAAGCAGGAAGACAGCAAACAUUUAUGAACUGUGUGAUACUCCAAACAUUGGGUUAAGCAAGCACUGGGGAGAAAGCAAUAAAACACCGUCUCUUACAUGUCUAAUGAGGGAGACCCAAACAGGACUGUGGCUCACUCCCAUGACACCAACCUCAAUCAGCAGUUCAGCUCUCACCUGUCUCUGGGGCAGCACCGUGCCCUGCUGUGGUAGAAGAAACCUUGGGAUCUAGCAUGGUCCUCUUGCUGCCAUUGACACGUAACAUUCUUCAGGUCCAAGAAGCAAGUGAGGUCCUCAAAUGUUCGGGAGAAACACUUCAGGGGCUCUGAGUCCGAGGCCAGCAAGGAGACAUCUAAGGAACAGCUGAGAUGAGGAAACGGAGAUGUAGAGAAGUUAAGGAUUUGCCCAAGAUUACAUAUGUACUAAGACAUGAAGCUCAAGAGGUCAACCUUCAGAACCCAUAGCCAAGAUUGACACAAACACUUUCUCACCCAUCUUCUUAUGCAAGGAACGUCUUGCUUGUGGCAGCUUGGCUGCUGUGGGCUGGGAGUCUCAGAAGCCCUCCUAAGCAGCUGCCCAUCUAAUUUUGGCUGGAGGUGAGUUUCCAUCUCUCUCUGGCCCUGCCAUAGCCAGCCCCUGAUUGCCUUGGAAGAACUGCCUUUGAAAUUUGACAUCUGUACCCAGACAGGCAGCAAAAUUCCUUAUGGCAGCACCCAAAGGCUUGAAAUUAGCCAUUCCAAGUGUGUCCAAAAAACUAAAGGAAACCAUGACUAAAGAAGUAAAGAUAGAAAUGAUAUGCAUCAAAUAGAGAAGAAUAAAAGGAUCCCAUCAAUAUAGGGAUAGACUGUAAGAAAAUAGAAAUUCUAGAGUUAAAAAGUACAAUAACUGAAGUGAAAAAUCCACUAGAGGUGCUCAAUAAUAGAUCUGAACUGGCAGAAGAAUCAGUGAACUUUAUAAAUCAAUAAAAAUUAAGCAAUUUGAAGAACAGAGAGGAAAAAGAAUUACAAAUUUACAGAGCCUCAGAAAAAUGUGGGACACCAUUAAGCACACCAACUAAUGCAUAAGGUGAAUGCUAGAAGGAGAGGAGAAAGAGAAAGGAACAGAAAAAAACAUUUUCAUAAAUAAUUGCUGAAAAUAUUACAAAUUUAUUGGGAAACAUCAAUGUACACAUAUAGGAAGCUCAAUGAACUCCAAGUAGGAAAAACACAAAGAGAUCCACAAACAGACACAUUUUGGUAAAAAUAAUGAAAGCUGAAGACGAGAAGAAAAUUUUGAAAGCAUCGAUAGAAAAAUGACUGAUCACUUACAAAAGGGUCCCAAUAAGAUUAAUAGCAGAUAUCUCAGCAACGACAAUGGAAGCCAGAAGAGAAUGGGAUAACAUGUUCAAAGUGCUUAAAGGAAAAGCUGUCAAACAAAAACUCAGCAAAGCUAUCUUUUAGAACUGAAGGUGAAAUAAAAACAUUGCCAACAAAAACUGAAAAAAUAUGUUGCUAGCAGAUUUGACUUACAUGAAAUACUAAAGGAAAUCCUUCAGGUUGACAGCAAGUUACUCCAGAUAGUAAUUCAAAUCCACACAAAACAAAGAGCACUGGUAAAGCCAGUAGACAAGAUUUGACUCUGGAGGUGAUGUCUGAGCCAACAGGUAUUUGGAGUCUGGAGAAAAAGCCAUGCUAAUAAAUUUCUGAACUUGGAAGUCAAAAUUAUUAAGAACUUUGCGCUUCCGGCAAGGGAUGGAUGACAAUUCAUAAAUGGUGAUGGCAGGUUUUUCUUGCACAGUCUCAGAGAUAGCGAGAUACCGCCGAUUGGGACUGAUGGACAAGGCCAACAUGCCCUGACUCUUGUCUGAGCCUGCAAACAGAGGAAAAAGGAAAUAAUCAGGGUAGAUCACACUUUCACCAGGAUUCAACAGGAACCAGGCACAGUAGUGGGCACUGGAGUGGACAGAAAGAAUAAAGGCGGCCUUGGCAUA
Non-coding RNA from Macaca mulatta (Rhesus monkey), 2422 nucleotides. The record is from RefSeq and is a predicted model, not a curated record. Lineage: Eukaryota; Metazoa; Chordata; Mammalia; Primates; Cercopithecidae.